UGGGGAAUCUUGGACAAUGGGCGCAAGCCUGAUCCAGCCAUGCCGCGUGAGCGAUGAAGGCCUUAGGGUUGUAAAGCUCUUUCACCGGUGAAGAUAAUGACGGUAGCCGGAGAAGAAGCCCCGGCUAACUCCGUGCCAGCAGCCGCGGUAAUACGGAGGGGGCUAGCGUUGUUCGGAAUUACUGGGCGUAAAGCGCGCGUAGGCGGACUGAUCAGUCAGGGGUGAAAUCCCGGGGCUCAACCCCGGAACUGCCUUUGAUACUGUCAGUCUUGAGUCCGGAAGAGGCGAGUGGAAUACCGAGUGUAGAGGUGAAAUUCGUAGAUAUUAGGUGGAACACCAGUGGCGAAGGCGCCUAACUGGUCCGGUACUGACGCUGAGGAACGAAAGCGUGGGGAGCAAACAGGAUUAGAUACCCUGGUAGUCCACGCCGUAAACGAUGAGUGCUAGAUGUUGGGAUUUUCGGAUUUCAGUGUCGCAGCUAACGCAUUAAGCACUCCGCCUGGGAGUACGGCCGCAAGGUUAAAACUCAAAGG
This 533-nucleotide ribosomal RNA is filed under the name uncultured bacterium. Its description in RNAcentral is "bacterial SSU rRNA". It matches the Rfam family "Bacterial small subunit ribosomal RNA", at positions 355 to 907 of the family's 1533-position model. The record is from RNAcentral.